AUGUCUCAUUCCCCCUUCCCAGGCGGUGGAGGCCCAGAGCCCAGGAGGGCCCCCCAGAGAGCUGGUUCUCCCAUCAGCCGUUGUGAGGAAUGACGGGCAAGCUGGUAUUAUUGGCAGUGCCCGCAGGGUGACUCGGGAAGGCGAGAUUGAUUUUCCCAGAUGCAUGCCCCUGUUCCUGAACCUGCCUCUGCUCUCUGCUGAUCUCAGAGAAUCCCAGCAUUUUGGAGCUAAUGGGACCUGAGCCCAGCUUUUCCCGUGAGAAGGCCCAAGGGUGCCUCACGGAGAGUUAGGGACAGGGUGCACCUUCUGUGUGCCAUCCAUCUGCCAAGAUGGGUAGGAGCCAUAUGGAAAGCUUCUCUCAGAAGGCACACAUAUUCGCACCCCGGAGUAAUUACCACUUACCUGAGCCGAGCACUGCAAUUCCAAAGUGCUUGCCCUUCCAUCCUUUCACAUAAUCGGCCCAGCAACCCUGGAAACCCACCACCAUGAACUCUCUUUAGUCAGGGAGGAAAUUAACACACCAAAAGGUUUUGCUAAAAGGACCACAGGGCAUCCACAUGAAUUAAGCUUUGGCUGUUUACCCCACUCACAAUAGCCCUAUGAAGUAGGCAUUAUUAUCCUGAUUGUGCAGGAGCAGCCAGGGCUCAGAGACAUGAAGGAGCUUGUAUGAGGCCACUCAGCUAGUUAGGUCGCUGGGACAGAACUCGAACCCAGAGCCCAAGCUCCAGGAUGGAGAUGCAGAGUCAUCUGACCCCAGGCCCGGGCUCAGUCUCCGGUGCAGCCACUGUCCGUCAGCCGUAAAGAUCCUCUUGUGGGUUUGUUGUUUUGAGGCUGGGCUCUCCUGCUAUGCUGCACAGCAGACAACUGCAGAAGGGAUCAGAGGAGGCAGGGCUUGAUGUGGUCAGCGAAGGCCCUGAGCUGCCCUCUGCUGGGAAGGGGGGAGCGUGGGAGCCCUUGGCCGAGGCUCCAGGUCCAUUUUAAUAAGUGAUGUAUUAAAAUGUUCCUGCUGGAGGCCACCCCGUCAGCCAAAGCAGGAAUCUCGGCCUGGGAAGCCAGUCCGCCUUUCCGGAGGACUCCACUCAGCAAAAGAGAACAUAAAUCUGACACAUCCACUAUAACAUCAGGGUGAGCAUUUGUUGAGAAGGCACUUUGGGGACUGGGCAGAUAUCACAUUAUACCAAGUGCAGGAUAUCUGGUUAGGUAGCAAUACAUAUGACAAGGGCCAUCAACAGUCCGAGGUGGGGGAGGGUGUCUCCAUGCCUCCAUGCGUGGAUGGAGCAUCCGUGGCUGCAUCAUUCAAACGCCACUAAUUGAAUGCUUGUAAUAAGCAUCCAUCUCUUCGGAUUCUGCUUGUGGCCUGUCCAGGCUGACAGUCUGAAGGAAUAUCAAAAAGCACCUCCAAGGGGGAAAUUGGCAAAUUAAGUUUUAAAAGAAAGAGACUUAAAAAUUACUGCUGUCUGGAGGCCCCAGAUGAAGGAGUGAGUUCUGCAGACAGCAGGCAGCAAAAUCCGGGGCCCUAAGGACCCAGCGGGAGGGGCAGACUGUAAGGAGGCUGCUGCAAGAGUAAAGGGCUCGAAUUUAGGACUUAGGUGACUUGGAUUGGAAACUUCUCUGGUAUGCUUUCUAGUUGUGCCUUGGGGCCAGUUUCUCAAGCUCUUUGGGCUUCUGUAAAACGGGGGUGACAAAAUGCCUACCGCACAAAUAAACAGAACCCCCUUUCUCCUUCCCAGCACAGGACCUGGUGCAUAAUAAAUGGUAGCCAUCAAUAUGAACAUACUAGAGGCCUGGUGCAUGAAAUUCGUGCACAGGAGCGGGGGAUGUCCCUCAGCCCGGCCUGCACCCUCUAUAAUCUGGUACCCCUCAGGGGACAUCCUUCUUGCAACCCUGGAACUCUGGCUCCUAACCUCUCGCCUGCCCUCCAGCCUGAUCCUCCUAACUGCUCUCCCCUGCCGUCCUGAUCACCCCUAACUGCCUCUGCCUUGGCCCUGCCACCAUGGCUUUGUCCAGAAGGACAUUCAGUCUAAUUAGCAUAUGACCCUUUUAUUAGUAUAGAUGUGAAGUGCCUACUAUGUGCUAAGUGAUGGACUUUCAAGACCUAGCAAACAGUUCUGGCUGCCAAAGCUUCUUUGCAGAUGUUUUUUGGCAGCCCAGAGCUGACACCCAGGGUACUAAGGGGCAGUGGUGGCAUCACCAUAGGGCUGGGGAGGAGGGAGGCGUCAGCUUGCUUCUCAUUAUCUCCAUCAGCUCCCCAAAGCACCCAACAAAUCCAAUCCUAAGUAAAUCUGUGUGCUUGCUCCCCAAAGCAGUGUCAAGAGAAGUCUCCACCCCCUUCUAACCAGAUUGUCUGAAGUCUUCGCUCUAUGGAUGGAGACGAGCAGGUCAAGGAUGCAUGCUGUCAACAUGGCUUAUCACUACUGACGCUGACCUUGACUUGGGAUUCUUCUGUCCAGGCGAUGCAAGUGACACACUUAUCUGCGGUUCAACUCUGCCUCCGUGUUGAGCAAGCCACUGUGGUCUAGAUGUAAUCGUGAGUUCCAGGCAAACCGGGGGAAAACAGAAAUGCCACAAGGCCCAAGGUACUGCCUGAUGACCGAUAGAUGGAACCUUACAAAAGAGAAAGAGAAAAAAAGAGAGAGAUGAAAAAAAACAACCAGCACCCUAAUAAAAGCAACUUCCUGUGGACGGGAGCUGUCACUCUGCUUAGAAA
This is a long non-coding RNA of Myotis myotis, 2707 nucleotides long. RefSeq lists it as uncharacterized. The record is from RefSeq and is a predicted model, not a curated record. NCBI's taxonomy places the organism in Eukaryota, Metazoa, Chordata, Mammalia, Chiroptera, Vespertilionidae. The transcript has 2 exons.